Molecule: ribosomal RNA, 497 nt
Filed under: uncultured bacterium
Lineage: Bacteria
Description: partial 16S ribosomal RNA
Rfam family: Bacterial small subunit ribosomal RNA
Source: RNAcentral
GAUGAACGCUGGCGGCGUGCCUAAUACAUGCAAGUCGAGCGAACAGACGAGGAGCUUGCUCCUCUGACGUUAGCGGCGGACGGGUGAGUAACACGUGGAUAACCUACCUAUAAGACUGGGAUAACUUCGGGAAACCGGAGCUAAUACCGGAUAAUAUAUUGAACCGCAUGGUUCAAUAGUGAAAGACGGUUUUGCCGUCACUUAUAGAUGGAUCCGCGCAGCAUUAGCUAGUUGGUAAGGUAACGGCUUACCAAGGCAACGAUGCGUAGCCGACCUGAGAGGGUGAUCGGCCACACUGGAACUGAGACACGGUCCAGACUCCUACGGGAGGCAGCAGUAGGGAAUCUUCCGCGAUGGGCGAAAGCCUGACGGAGCAACGCCGCGUGAGUGAUGAAGGUCUUCGGAUCGUAAAACUCUGUUAUUAGGGAAGAACAAAUGUGUAAGUAACUAUGCACGUCUUGACGGUACCUAAUCAGAAAGCCGCGGCUAACUACGUG